GCCUGUAAUCGUUGUCCUAGACAGAAAAAACUCAAGUACCAUAUUUAGAAGUUCAAAGUCUGAUUCAGUAAACUGAUAGGAUGCUUGUUUACACUACAAUAGGCGUUUUUUCAAAGAAAUUUAAUAAACAAAUAAAGCAUGUUACAACGUUUUAGCUACCGGUAAGUAAUUUAUUUUGGGUUCUAUUUCAUAUGGACCAAUAUGCCUGGCAUGUAAUGGAUGUCUGUAAUAUAAUCAAAGUGCUAGAUAGCACCUCUGGAAAGUUUGCAACAGUAGCUGUGUAUUAUUCCAAAAAAGUUAUAGACAUGUAUUAUUUCAAAUAUGUAUUUCAUCACAGCUUUGUCUAAACCAUUGUCUUAUCAGUAAUUAUCAAAAAUCACUUUUUUAC
This 388-nucleotide long non-coding RNA is filed under the name Mytilus galloprovincialis (Mediterranean mussel). Lineage: Eukaryota; Metazoa; Mollusca; Bivalvia; Mytilida; Mytilidae. The record is from RNAcentral.